RNAcentral lists this transfer RNA (75 nucleotides) under Candidatus Woesearchaeota archaeon. Its description in RNAcentral is "tRNA-Arg". It matches the Rfam family "tRNA". From Rfam's summary of the family: Transfer RNA (tRNA) molecules are approximately 80 nucleotides in length. Their secondary structure includes four short double-helical elements and three loops (D, anti-codon, and T loops). The record is from RNAcentral. Lineage: Archaea; Nanobdellati; Candidatus Woesearchaeota.
GGGCCUGUAGCACAGCCUGGAUAGCGCGACUGCCUUCUAAGCAGUAGGUCGUGGGUUCAAAUCCCAUCAGGCCCG